GAUGAACGCUGGCGGCGUGCCUAAUACAUGCAAGUCGAGCGAACAGACGAGGAGCUUGCUCCUCUGACGUUAGCGGCGGACGGGUGAGUAACAUGUGAGUAACCUGCCCUUGACUUUGGGAUAACUUCAGGAAACUGGGGCUAAUACCGGAUAGGAGCUCCUGCUGCAUGGUGGGGGUUGGAAAGUUUCGGCGGUUGGGGAUGGACUCGCGGCUUAUCAGCUUGUUGGUGGGGUAGUGGCUUACCAAGGCUUUGACGGGUAGCCGGCCUGAGAGGGUGACCGGCCACAUUGGGACUGAGAUACGGCCCAGACUCCUACGGGAGGCAGCAGUGGGGAAUAUUGCACAAUGGGCGGAAGCCUGAUGCAGCAACGCCGCGUGCGGGAUGACGGCCUUCGGGUUGUAAACCGCUUUCGCCUGUGACGAAGCGUGAGUGACGGUAAUGGGUAAAGAAGCACCGGCUAACUACGUG
Molecule: ribosomal RNA, 470 nt
Filed under: uncultured bacterium
Lineage: Bacteria
Description: partial 16S ribosomal RNA
Rfam family: Bacterial small subunit ribosomal RNA
Source: RNAcentral